GGGGCAAUGGCUCAGUGGUAGAGCGCUUGCCUAGGAUGCAUGAGACACUGGGUUCAAUCCCCCUCACCACA
This 71-nucleotide transfer RNA is filed under the name Ictidomys tridecemlineatus (thirteen-lined ground squirrel). RNAcentral's name for it is "Spermophilus tridecemlineatus (thirteen-lined ground squirrel) tRNA". It matches the Rfam family "tRNA". Rfam says of the family: Transfer RNA (tRNA) molecules are approximately 80 nucleotides in length. Lineage: Eukaryota; Metazoa; Chordata; Mammalia; Rodentia; Sciuridae. RNAcentral also lists the same sequence under 1 other name. The record is from Rfam by way of RNAcentral.